Molecule: ribosomal RNA, 465 nt
Filed under: uncultured bacterium
Lineage: Bacteria
Description: partial 16S ribosomal RNA
Rfam family: Bacterial small subunit ribosomal RNA
Source: RNAcentral
CCUACGGUAGACAGCAGUAGGGAAUCUUCCACAAUGGGCGAAAGCCUGAUGGAGCAACGCCGCGUGGGUGAAGAAGGUCUUCGGAUCGUAAAACCCUGUUGUUAGAGAAGAAAGUGCGUGAGAGUAACUGUUCACGUUUCGACGGUAUCUAACCAGAAAGCCACGGCUAACUACGUGCCAGCAGCCGCGGUAAUACGUAGGUGGCAAGCGUUAUCCGGAUUUAUUGGGCGUAAAGGGAACGCAGGCGGUCUUUUAAGUCUGAUGUGAAAGCCUUCGGCUUAACCGGAGGAGUGCAUUGGAAGAGGGGAGACGUGAGGGCAGAAGAGGAGAGUGGAACUCAAUGUGUAGCGGUGAAAGGCGUAGAGAUAUGGAAGAACACCAGUGGCGAAAGCGGCUCUCUGGUCUGUAACUGACGCUGAGGUUCGAAAGCGUGGGUAGCAAACAGGAUUAGAUACCCUAGUAGUC